UUCUGACUCCAAGCUAUUUUU
Molecule: non-coding RNA, 21 nt
Filed under: Caenorhabditis elegans
Lineage: Eukaryota; Metazoa; Nematoda; Chromadorea; Rhabditida; Rhabditidae
Source: RNAcentral